AAAGGAUUUGGGUACGUGAAUGGCUGAAGAGAUGUGGUCGUUAUGGGAUGUCCAUCCUUCAUCAGGAGCUUGAGGUAACGUUAAUGUAAGCUAUAUAUUGUUUACUCAGGGCCGGAGCGGG
Long non-coding RNA from Salarias fasciatus (jewelled blenny), 121 nucleotides. RefSeq lists it as uncharacterized. The record is from RefSeq and is a predicted model, not a curated record. The transcript has 3 exons. NCBI's taxonomy places the organism in Eukaryota, Metazoa, Chordata, Actinopteri, Blenniiformes, Blenniidae.